RNAcentral lists this small RNA (550 nucleotides) under Pongo abelii (Sumatran orangutan). RNAcentral's name for it is "processed transcript". The record is from RNAcentral. Lineage: Eukaryota; Metazoa; Chordata; Mammalia; Primates; Hominidae.
AGAUAUGAAUGCAGAGACUCUCUCUGCUCUUGGCUUGUGUUUCCUAAGCAGUGACUACAUUGAAUAUACUCUCAGUUGUUCCAGAUUUACCUGUUGCUCUCUGCUGACUGCUCUGUAAAUGGUUUAUAGCUGAAGCUUCAUUGUAGUAUAAAACUUCAUUUUAGUUUUAAAAACCUUUCUUUGUUGUCUAGAGCCUGUGUGGUGCCCCUAUCUCCUUGUUCCAAGGGCUUCUCUUGCCUUGAAAGCCUUCUUAUUACACCAGCCUUGGAAUGGACAGUAUUCUUUGGACAUUUCUUAUGUUGACUAUCCAGAAAAUGAAGAAAUAAAGAAUCUCCUCCAAGAACAGUUGAAUUCAUUGUCUAAUGACAUAAAGAAACUGUUGCUUGAUCCAGAAUUCACUCUCUUGCAGAGGUGCCUGCUUGUUUCAAGGCUCUAUGGUGAUGAAUCUGAGCUGCACUUCUGGACUGUCGCUGCCCACUACCUGCACAGCUUAUCCCAGGAAAAGUCAGCCAGCACAACAGCUCCUAAAGAAGCUGCUCCUCGAGACAAA